AAGAAGCGAAGCGGUGACGUGGAGCAAACCUCAGAAAGCCAAUCUCAGUUCGGAUUGUAGGCUGCAACUCGCCUACAUGAAGUUGGAAUCGCUAGUAAUCGCGAAUCAGAAUGUCGCGGUGAAUACGUUCCCGGGUCUUGUACACACCGCCCGUCACACCAUGGGAGUCGGAAAUGCCCGAAGUCAGUGACCCAACCGUAAGGAGGGAGCUGCCGAAGGUGGAGCCGGUAACUGGGGUGAAGUCGUAACAAGGUAGC
RNAcentral lists this ribosomal RNA (257 nucleotides) under uncultured bacterium. RNAcentral's name for it is "partial 16S ribosomal RNA". It matches the Rfam family "Bacterial small subunit ribosomal RNA", at positions 1244 to 1500 of the family's 1533-position model. The record is from RNAcentral.